Molecule: long non-coding RNA, 682 nt
Filed under: Fukomys damarensis (Damara mole-rat)
Lineage: Eukaryota; Metazoa; Chordata; Mammalia; Rodentia; Bathyergidae
Description: lncRNA (ENSFDAG00000031845.1)
Source: RNAcentral
CAGCACCUUUAAAUUUCUCUGCCUGGCACAGCUGUGACAUUACUGCCAAGAAAAGUUGGCAUUCAGUUCCAGGAGGCCACAAAGACUGAAACAAACUGUCCAUAUGUGAGGCAAAAAUGCAAGUCAGUCUUUAUUACUGCACUCAAAAAUAUCCCUUUGUGUUUCACUCACAGCUUAGCCAGCAAGGGCUCAAACUCUCACCCCUUGUGCAGGGGAAUUCCAAGGCUGAUGGCAUCCAGCAUUUUCCCAAGAGACGAAACAGCUCUGCUGCUGCCACAGCCAGGAGGUGCUCACCCUACCGCUGCCUACAUGGUUGGAGCUACUGCAGCAUCUCUCCUGACAAAAGCGAUCCACCCAUUCUUCACACUGAACUCUCUCUCGUUUCCAGCACUGUGUCACGUAACGCGGCUGGCCCACCGCAAGCCCCCAUCACUACGCUGCUAUUCAAGUCAGUCGUUUGCAGCACACUAUCCUGAUCUGAGCAAACCCCACCCGGCCAUCAUCCAAUAUACAACGGGAAACUCAUGAAAUAAAAAAGAUUCGCAUCCACAAAUACACUGAAAAUAUCUUGCAAGGUAUGUUGUGUACACCUGUUAUCCUAGCACCGUGGUAGGCUGAAGCAAGAGAAUAGCAAGUUUGAAUCCAGCCUGGACAGGGUGGCAACUUAACAAGACUGACCCUG